RNAcentral lists this ribosomal RNA (253 nucleotides) under uncultured bacterium. RNAcentral's name for it is "partial 16S ribosomal RNA". It matches the Rfam family "Bacterial small subunit ribosomal RNA", at positions 524 to 776 of the family's 1533-position model. The record is from RNAcentral.
CACGUAGGGGGCGAGCGUUGUUCGGAAUUACUGGGCGUAAAGGGCAUGUAGGCGGCUCUAUAAGCCCGGCGUGGAAGCCCAUGGCUCAACCGUGGGAUUGCGCUGGGAACUGCAGGGCUUGAAUCAUGGAGAGGGAGCUAGAAUUCCUGGUGUAGGGGUGAAAUCUGUAGAGAUCAGGAAGAAUACCAGUGGCGAAGGCGAGCUCCUGGCCAAUGAUUGACGCUGAGGUGCGAAAGUGUGGGGAUCAAACAGG